RNAcentral lists this ribosomal RNA (301 nucleotides) under uncultured bacterium. Its description in RNAcentral is "partial 16S ribosomal RNA". It matches the Rfam family "Archaeal small subunit ribosomal RNA", at positions 459 to 759 of the family's 1478-position model. The record is from RNAcentral.
CAGUCGCCGCGGGAAUACCAGCAGCCCAAGUGGUGGUCGCGAUUAUUGGGCCUAAAGCGCUCGUAGCCGGGCCGGUAAGUCCCUUGUGAAAUCGGACGGCCUAACCGUUCGGCGUGCAAGGGAUACUGUCGGUCUUGAGGCCGGGAGACGUCCGAGGUACUCCGGGGGUAGCGGUGAAAUGUUCUGAUCCUCGGGGGACCACCGGUGGCGAAGGCGUUCGACGAGAACGGGCCUGACGGUGAGGGGCGAAGGCUAGGGGAGCAAACGGGAUUAGAUACCCCCGUAGUCCCUGUCUCUUAUA